This 425-nucleotide ribosomal RNA is filed under the name uncultured bacterium. RNAcentral's name for it is "partial 16S ribosomal RNA". It matches the Rfam family "Bacterial small subunit ribosomal RNA", at positions 354 to 796 of the family's 1533-position model. The record is from RNAcentral.
GUGGGGAAUAUUGGACAAUGGGCGAAAGCCUGAUCCAGCCAUGCCGCGUGAGUGAUGAAGGUCUUAGGAUUGUAAAAUUCUUUCACCGGGGACGAUAAUGACGGUACCCGGAGAAGAAGCCCCGGCUAACUUCGUGCCAGCAGCCGCGGUAAUACGAAGGGGGCUAGCGUUGCUCGGAAUUACUGGGCGUAAAGGGCGCGUAGGCGGACAGUUUAGUCAGAGGUGAAAGCCCAGGGCUCAACCUUGGAAUUGCCUUUGAUACUGGCUGUCUUGAGUACGGGAGAGGUGAGUGGAACUCCGAGUGUAGAGGUGAAAUUCGUAGAUAUUCGGAAGAACACCAGUGGCGAAGGCGACUCACUGGCCCGUUACUGACGCUGAGGCGCGAAAGCGUGGGGAGCAAACAGGAUUAGAUACCCGAGUAGUCC